Molecule: non-coding RNA, 923 nt
Filed under: Dendropsophus parviceps (Sarayacu treefrog)
Lineage: Eukaryota; Metazoa; Chordata; Amphibia; Anura; Hylidae
Description: partial 12S ribosomal RNA
Rfam family: Bacterial small subunit ribosomal RNA
Source: RNAcentral
CACGCAUACUACUUAAUUUACACAUGCAAGUCUCCGNCACCCCUGUGAAAACGCCCUCNGAAUUUCUUUNAAGAAAUGAGGAGCCGGUAUCAGGCCCNAAAAAUUAGCCCAAGACACCUAGCUAUGCCACACCCACACGGGAGUUNCAGCAGUGAUUAACAUUGAAAAUAAGCGACNAGCUUGAAUCAGUUNAAAGUAAAAAGAGCCNGGCAAAUCUGGUGCCAGCCGCCGCGGUUACACCACGUGACUCAAACUGANCCUCUUCCGGCGUAAAGCGUGAUUNAAAGNCCCUCUUACCACUGCAAUUAAACCAGAACUGAGCUGUGACACGCCUAUNUCCUGAGAACCCCAAAANCCGAAAGUCAUUGCAACCCCUAANNACUUGAACUCACGACAGCUAGANAAACAAACUGGGAUUAGAUACCCCACUAUGCCUAGCCGUAAACCUUUAUUUACCUCCACACNNNNNNCGCCAGGGAACUACGAGCAAAGCUUAAAACCCAAAGGACUUGACGGUACCCCAUAUCCACCUAGAGGAGCCUGUCCUAUAAUCGAUAAUCCCCGCUUAACCUCACCAUUUUUAGCAUAUCAGCCUGUAUACCUCCGUCGUCAGCUUACCACAUGAGCGCCAANUUAGUGAGCUAAAUGCCCNNNNNNNNCUACGCCAACACGUCAGGUCAAGGUGCAGCAUAUAAAAUGGGAAGAGAUGGGCUACACUGUCUAAACUAGACUACACGGAAGACUAUAUAUGAAANCCUAGUCGGAAGGCGGAUUUAGAAGUAAAAAAAGACCAAAGCGCUUUUUUUAACUUNGGCACUGGGGUGUGUACACACCGCCCGUCACCCCUCUUNCGAAGCCCNAUACAAAGUCUUUNAACACNACUUCAGCACUUAAGAAGANGGCANAGUCGUAACAUGGUAAGU